GCACCCUCAUUUGAGAGGACAGAAGAUAUUAUUCCCUGGACUACAGACUCAGAGGGAAGAGGGGACCUGCCCGCUCUCACCUUGAGCUGGGUUCCCCAAGAAGCAGGAGCCAAGCAAGCAUGAGAGAGAGUUCAAGUACCUUACUUGGGAGGUGAUCCCAGGAAACACUGGCUAGGGAGCAGGAAGUGAGACAGAGAAGGGAAGUCAGCCCACUGCAGGAGGUGUUUUCAGUCUGUUACCGUGGAGGGCAGUGGGGCUCAGCUCUACAGGAAGCCCUGGGAGGCAGGGUAGAGUGCAUGUCUCAAGGUUUACCCCAGCCAGAGAGGAUUGCUGCAUCGUCAGCCACCAACUCCAGUCGUGGCUGAGAGCCCAUCCUGGGGCGUUUGGCGUGUCUAGCCGGUGCUACAGGCAGCACAGCGGACUCCAGUGGCCAGGAAACAGGAAUUCAACAGGAGUUGGAAAGAGCUCAGCAAGACCAGCCAAAGACUCAAAGAACAUUUGGCUCAAGGAAAUUCCAGAAGAGAAAGAGCUGGUGAAAAGGGAGGCUGGAAUCCUGGCAGCUACCUCCCACCCAGAGCAGGGAGGGUGGUACAAGCUGCCAAGGGAAAGAUCCAGGCCAGGCUGGGAAGCUACCUUCAUACAUGGGGCCUCAACUUGUUAUGAUUCAUGGAUGAAACAGGACCCAGAGGGAGACAAAGGAGUUAGCGUUCAGUGGUUGAUGCUCAGGAAGCAGGAAGAGCUCUCAAGGAAGCCCCCUUCAGAACGAGAAUGGCAGAAGAUGACCUCUCCUCACCGCACUAAUUUCCCGCAAGCUACUGGGGUCAGUACCAGUUCCCGGUAAUGACUGAUGUGGACAACAGCCUGAGACCCCGUCAGCUCUUUCUUCAGCACCGAGAGUUAGGCAUGGAGAGCACAAGGUGGCAGACAGAUGCCCCACAAAGUCCCCAGGACUCCAGUCUGAUGAAGAGAAACAAAGCAGUCUCAGCGUCUGACAGAUUUAUGUUGCAGAGAUCUUUUACGCCCUGUUUUAAUCAGUGUGUCCUGAGCAGUAAGUCUGGAGUUAGCGGUCUCUGUGUUCUGCCACAUCCCACCACGGAUACCUUGCCUUCCUUCUCUACUUAAGCAGAACUACAUCCUUCAGAGACUUAUCAAGAUGGAAUCAGAAGUCACAUGAGGGGCGCCUGGGUGGCGCAGUCGGUUAAGCGUCCGACUUCAGCCAGGUCACGAUCUCACGGUCCGUGAGUUCGAGCCCCGCGUCAGGCUCUGGGCUGAUGGCUCGGAGCCUGGAGCCUGUUUCCGAUUCUGUGUCUCCCUCUCUCUCUGCCCCUCCCCCGUUCAUGCUCUGUCUUUCUCUGUCCCAAAAAUAAAUAAACGUUGAAAAAAAAUUAAAAAAAAAAA
RNAcentral lists this long non-coding RNA (1398 nucleotides) under Felis catus (domestic cat). RNAcentral describes it as "lncRNA (ENSFCAG00000040572.2)". Lineage: Eukaryota; Metazoa; Chordata; Mammalia; Carnivora; Felidae. The record is from RNAcentral.